Molecule: ribosomal RNA, 253 nt
Filed under: uncultured bacterium
Lineage: Bacteria
Description: partial 16S ribosomal RNA
Rfam family: Bacterial small subunit ribosomal RNA
Source: RNAcentral
UACAGAGGUGGCAAGCGUUGUUCGGAAUUACUGGGCGUAAAGGGCGCGUAGGCGGCCUUCUAAGUCUGACGUGAAAUCCCCAGGCUUAACUUGGGAACUGCGUCUGAUACUGGAAGGCUUGAGUGCGGGAGAGGGAUGUGGAAUUCCAGGUGUAGCGGUGAAAUGCGUAGAUAUCUGGAGGAACACCGGUGGCGAAGGCGGCAUCCUGGACCGACACUGACGCUGAGGCGCGAAAGCUAGGGGAGCAAACGGG